RNAcentral lists this ribosomal RNA (436 nucleotides) under uncultured bacterium. RNAcentral's name for it is "bacterial SSU rRNA". It matches the Rfam family "Bacterial small subunit ribosomal RNA", at positions 73 to 507 of the family's 1533-position model. The record is from RNAcentral.
GUUCGGGGAGCCGAGUAGAGUGGCGAAACGGGUGAGUAAUGCUUGGAUGACCUGCCCUCGAGGACGGGGACAACNGUUCGAAAGGACUGCUAAUACCCGAUAGUCCGGUUUAGAUGCGUCUAGAUCGGUAAAUGGUGCUUCCGCUCGAGGAGGGGUUCAAGGUCCUAUCAGCUUGUUGGUGAGGUAACGGCUCACCAAGGCGAUGACGGGUAGCCGGACUGAGAGGUUGGCCGGCCACAUGGGAACUGAGACACUGUCCUGACUCCUACGGGAGGCUGCAGUCGAGAAUCUUCUGCAAUGGGCGAAAGCCUGACGGAGCGACGCCGCGUGGAGGAUGAAGGCCCUCGGGUCGUAAACUCCUGUCACAUGUUAUGAAACGCACAGGUCUACCUGUGCGCUGACAAAAGCAUGAGAGGAAGUCACGGCUAACUUCGUG